Molecule: ribosomal RNA, 483 nt
Filed under: uncultured bacterium
Lineage: Bacteria
Description: partial 16S ribosomal RNA
Rfam family: Bacterial small subunit ribosomal RNA
Source: RNAcentral
UUGAACGCUGGCGGCAGGCCUAACACAUGCAAGUCGCGCGGAUGAAGGGAGCUUGCUCCUGGAUUCAGCGGCGGACGGGUGAGUAAUGCCUAGGAAUCUGCCUGGUAGUGGGGGACAACGUCCGGAAACGGGCGCUAAUACCGCAUACGUCCUGAGGGAGAAAGUGGGGGAUCUUCGGACCUCACGCUAUCAGAUGAGCCUAGGUCGGAUUAGCUAGUUGGUGGGGUAAAGGCCUACCAAGGCGACGAUCCGUAACUGGUCUGAGAGGAUGAUCAGUCACACUGGAACUGAGACACGGUCCAGACUCCUACGGGAGGCAGCAGUGGGGAAUAUUGGACAAUGGGCGAAAGCCUGAUCCAGCCAUGCCGCGUGUGUGAAGAAGGUCUUCGGAUUGUAAAGCACUUUAAGUUGGGAGGAAGGGCAGUAAGUUAAUACCUUGCUGUUUUGACGUUACCAACAGAAUAAGCACCGGCUAACUUCGUG